GCUUCCCAUAUCAUCUGGGUGGGUACCUUUAUCAUUUGUCCUUGGCCUUAUCUCUAUCCAACUGGAGCAGAUAAGCUCAAUCAAGAUUCUUCUUUCUCUUUCUUCUUCUUUGUUUUCUCUUCCUCCUCCACUAUUCGUCCUGCUGAUGAAAAUUUGUGAAUCAAAUUCGAGAUUUGGUGAUCGUAAUAAGAAAUGAAACAUCAAGAAUUGAUUUUCAGUGGUGAAGAUAGUCUAUAAUUGAAUUAGAUUCAGAAGAAGUGAUGUUUAGAGAGAUUCAGUGAGUUAGGGUUUAUGGAUUUGAAAUAAGCUUCGCAUGGAACUAAUAAUGAUGAUUUAUAGUUGGUAAUAGAUGGAGAUCGAAUGGUUCGAUACUGUGUUUGUGAUAUGAAGUUGUUAUGAAGAUGAAUCGAAGAAUGAAAGAGUUAGGGUUUCAGGGGAAAGCUCAGGGAAGAUUAAAAAGAAGAAGUUGUUGUUUUAGGAGAUUGAAUUAAGGUUGGGUUUGCUCUGAAUUGAAGUUUAGUUGGAUGUAUUGGGUUAAUUUCAAUUGUGUGAGAAAUUGAAUCGGAAAUUAGGGUUUUUGAGAAUUGAAGAUGGUGAUGAAGAUUGUUGGGUGUUUUUAGUUUGAUAUGGUUGUUCAAUUGAGGCAGAGGAAUGAUGAAUUCAACCUCAGUUGCCUGAGCAACACUGAUUUGAGGUAAUGUUUCUUAAUAGUAAAAUCAGUUGGUUUAUAAGUUUUUCCAUGAACUAUAAAUGAAGUUUGCUGUCGUAUGAAUCUGUUUAUGAAUGUGAUAAGGUUUAGGUUAUGUUGGUUGUAAGAAGAUGGUAUAUGUUAGAAUUGUGCAGGGGUUGAGCUUUAUGAAUUGAAAUGGUUGUGAGAUAGAUAUGUGGUUGAGCUGAGUUAACUGUGGUGGUGUUGUAAGGUGCAGGGGGGAUGGAAAAGAGAAGUUGAGAUGGUAUAAUGGCUGGUGGAGCUGCAGAUGGUUUUGGUGUUGGGUAUGUUUUUGAGAUAAGAGAAUGGAUUGCACAUGAUGGUAUUGUUGAACUGGUGGAGGUACUGUAUUGCAACUGGUGUUGGUGUUGUUGUGUUUUGAAUGACAUCAUUGAAGUAAUUGGAGUUUGUAUCUCAGAUGAUGAUGAGGUGUGUUGGUUGGUUGUAAGAGCUGAACUGUUGGUGAAUGGUGCUGAUAGUGACAAGCUAAGGCUGAAAUGGAUGUUGGUAUGAGCAGUAUAGUAUUAUAGUUGUUAGUUCAGUAAAAGGUAAAAGCUGCAAUUGCAGUUUCAGAGACAGAUCAGAGUUGUGCAGCGAAAGCUUCGAGACAUUGAGUCCGUUAGUUGGUUAACUUCGGCUAUGAUUAUUAUGUUGCACAUUAUAUUUGUAAACCAUAUGACUAUUGUAUAUGUAUCAUUUGAAAGGAGUUCUUGUAUAUACAUACUUUUCAGAGCGGGGCUAGUUUUGGGGUUAAGUUUUGAA
Papaver somniferum (opium poppy) is the source of this 1471-nucleotide long non-coding RNA. RefSeq lists it as uncharacterized. The transcript has 2 exons. NCBI's taxonomy places the organism in Eukaryota, Viridiplantae, Streptophyta, Magnoliopsida, Ranunculales, Papaveraceae. The record is from RefSeq and is a predicted model, not a curated record.